Drosophila montana is the source of this 497-nucleotide long non-coding RNA. RefSeq lists it as uncharacterized. Lineage: Eukaryota; Metazoa; Arthropoda; Insecta; Diptera; Drosophilidae. The transcript has 2 exons. The record is from RefSeq and is a predicted model, not a curated record.
AUGUCAAAAAAUACUUGGGAAUUGAAAGUGAAUUUCGGCCAUGUACUCAAAAAAUUACGCGUAACUGGCAAGCAGAUCCUAACUAAUGUCACCUAAUGCACAACGAUGCGCUUCAUUAGCGAAAUAUCCAGCCUAAUGUCCAUUAAGCACCUUCCAAUUGAGCCCAAAAGAAAAGUGCAUUAAGUAUUUUGUAAUAUUUAAUGUUCGUCGAAAAGGUCGGCCCCACCUUAGUUGGCAAAACUUCGCAACCAUGUCCAGCAAUCGCACCCGAAACGUGCUGCUGCUCCUGGUCUUACCUGGCAUCUCGUUUAGAAAAAUUGCUCACGCACGGUGUCGUUUUGGAUGGUUGGCGGUGUUUCGGGGCUGGGCAGAAGGAGGAUUUUAAGUGCUGGCAGUUCUGUGGUCUGGCUUGCUCCUGAUUUUGUUUACCAUUUACCGUUCAACAUUUUCUGCUGUGUAUCGUUCGUCGCCUAAGCGCAUUAAAAGUUUUCUUCUUU